This 71-nucleotide transfer RNA is filed under the name Ovis aries (sheep). It matches the Rfam family "tRNA". Rfam says of the family: Transfer RNA (tRNA) molecules are approximately 80 nucleotides in length. Their secondary structure includes four short double-helical elements and three loops (D, anti-codon, and T loops). Further hydrogen bonds mediate the characteristic L-shaped molecular structure. tRNAs have two regions of fundamental functional importance: the anti-codon, which is responsible for specific mRNA codon recognition, and the 3' end, to which the tRNAs corresponding amino acid is attached (by aminoacyl-tRNA synthetases). tRNAs cope with the degeneracy of the genetic code in two manners: having more than one tRNA (with a specific anti-codon) for a particular amino acid; and 'wobble' base-pairing, i.e. permitting non-standard base-pairing at the 3rd anti-codon position. The record is from Rfam by way of RNAcentral. Lineage: Eukaryota; Metazoa; Chordata; Mammalia; Artiodactyla; Bovidae.
UCCCUGUUGGCUCAGUGGUAAAGAAUCUGCCUGCAAUGCAGGAGACCUAGGUUCAAUCCCUGGGUGGGGAA